Molecule: long non-coding RNA, 1439 nt
Filed under: Heterocephalus glaber (naked mole-rat)
Lineage: Eukaryota; Metazoa; Chordata; Mammalia; Rodentia; Bathyergidae
Description: lncRNA (ENSHGLG00100032930.1)
Source: RNAcentral
CUGCCGUGCCCGCUCUCUCGCACCAACUCCUCGUCCCUCGCUGCUGGUGGCGUCCUCGGGGGCGCGCGGCCUCCCCCCACCCCGCCGGCCCGCGCUCUGGCCGCCCCACCCCGCCCCCGGGCUGUGUUUGUAAACAGGGGUCAGUGGCCGGGGGCUGCCGGCGCGGGCUUUGGCCUAGCGGCCUGGGCUGGAAGGCCCGGAAGAGCAGGCCGGCCCAGGGCUGCGGGCGAAGGGCAGGCUGCAUGGCCGCGCGAGUCUCGGGAUCUCGCUGCCCUCCGCACGUGUGACGAUUGAGCUGCCACGGGGCGGAAGAGCCUGCGCCCCAGCUCGCCGGGCCUGCAGUCCGAGCCGAGGGCGCAGAGGGCGGCGGGCGCGCGGCCAGCCUGGCCCCCUUCCCGGGGCCGGCCCUGGGGGCCCGCAGCGCCCACCCUGGCCUGGCACUCCUUUCGUGUGUCCCGAAGUCGUCGCCCGUCCCGCGCACGCCGCCUGGCUUUCUCACCUUCUCGCCCAGGCCUCACGUCUCCCCGGGGCAAAUGGGGCCCAGCUCCCUGCAUGGGGCAGGGAGGCCGGGCCCAGGCGUCCAGAGCGCUCGUGGGGGGCGCGAGUGGUCGAGGGACCGGGCCCCCCCACUGGGCCCAGGACCAGGGCCCGAGCGUGGGGAGGGCGCGACUCCUAGGGUAGGCGGGCGUGGUGGGGCACGGCUGGCUGCUGGCCGGCCGGCGCCGUGGUUCCCGUCCCGUGGAACUUCUCGGUGCGUCUGCGAGUGGAAUGGUGACCUGGACACGGGAAGCGUGAGACAGUGACCUGGAAGGCCACCCUGGGUGGAGGAGGCUGGAGCGCAGCCACCCAGGCAAAGCUGCUUCUGGGGACGAGGGGACCCAGAGGUGCACCACAGACAGGUCGCAGGGAAGUGCAACAAGCUUGUUUUCCAGGGUGUUUAAAAUGCAGCCCCAGUUGUAAAGUGUGUGAAAUUACGCACUGGUCUCUUAAAGAGUGCCUAAUUUAUAGUAAAUAGCGAGGUCUUUGUAAAUGGCUUUAUUAUGUUGUUUCUUGUUAAUUGUUGAGAAAAUCCCCAUUGUUGAGUGUGAAAGGCUUUAUGAGCUAACCUGGUCCUGGCGCAAUCAGAGGGCCAGUAAAGGGCUGCUCGGCCUCGCGCGGUAGCGGGCGCCGGCCGAGGGCGCCGCAGGGACCUCGGGAGAGGCCGCCCCGGCCCGGGGACAGAGAGGCACGGCUCUCUCCUGGAUUUGCUGAACCGUCAAGCGUGUUCUGAACUCGCGGGCCUCCUGGAGCAGCUCCCUGCAAAGGGGACCCGGGCUGGCCACGGCGACCCGUCCUGGCGGGGAGGCGGAGCAGGCCGGUCCCGCUCCGGUCACAACCCGCGGCGGCGGGGGGGGGGGGGGCGCUCCCCGGGCCGCGCUGCGCUGGGGUCGGAUCUUGGG